AGUGAACGCUGGCGGUAGGCCUAACACAUGCAAGUCGAACGGCAGCACAGUAAGAGCUUGCUCUUACGGGUGGCGAGUGGCGGACGGGUGAGGAAUACAUCGGAAUCUACUUUUUCGUGGGGGAUAACGUAGGGAAACUUACGCUAAUACCGCAUACGACCUACGGUUGAAAGCAGUGGAUCUUCUGACCUUGCGCGAUUGAAUGAGCCGAUGUGGGAUUAGCUAGUUGGCGGGGUAAAGGCCCACCAAGGCGACGAUCCGUAGCUGGUCUGAGAGGAUGAUCAGCCACACUGGAACUGAGACACGGUCCAGACUCCUACGGGAGGCAGCAGUGGGGAAUAUUGGACAAUGGGCGCAAGCCUGAUCCAGCCAUACCGCGUGGGUGAAGAAGGCCUUCGGGUUGUAAAGCCCUUUUGUUGGGAAAGAAAAGCAGCAGGUUAAUACCCCGCUGUUCUGACGGUACCCAAAGAAUAAGCACCGGCUAACUUCGUG
This 492-nucleotide ribosomal RNA is filed under the name uncultured bacterium. Its description in RNAcentral is "partial 16S ribosomal RNA". It matches the Rfam family "Bacterial small subunit ribosomal RNA", at positions 29 to 507 of the family's 1533-position model. The record is from RNAcentral.